UUAAACACAGCAAAAAAAAAAAAAAAAAGCAAACAAAGAAAAGGACUAUUUCCGGUCAUGAGUGGAGGAGGCUACGACAUCUUCAACACUUGAGCUUCGUUUGAGAAGACGCAAGUCCACCCUUUGCAACGAGAAUAGCUUCAGCUCUUCUGGGGAAGCUUUCCACAAGAUUUAGGAGUGCGUUUAUGGGAAUUUCGGACCAUUUUUCCAAAACGUUGCAUUUCCGAGGUCACAUGCCGAUGUCGGGCAAUAGGGCGAAGCCGUCCGUCUCUGCUCUAAUUCGUCACAAAGGCAUUCUGUUGGAUUCCCGCUGUCAAUAACAGCCGCGAUUAAAUGUCUUAUCAAUGUC
Molecule: long non-coding RNA, 349 nt
Organism: Hippocampus comes (tiger tail seahorse)
Lineage: Eukaryota; Metazoa; Chordata; Actinopteri; Syngnathiformes; Syngnathidae
Exons: 2
Source: RefSeq, a predicted model, not a curated record